UACGGGGGGAGCAAACGUUGUUCGGAAUCACUGGGCGUAAAGCGCACGUAGGCGGAUUGUUAAGUCAGGGGUGAAAUCCUGGAGCUCAACUCCAGAACUGCCUUUGAUACUGGCGAUCUCGAGUCCGGGAGAGGUGAGUGGAACUGCGAGUGUAGAGGUGAAAUUCGUAGAUAUUCGCAAGAACACCAGUGGCGAAGGCGGCUCACUGGCCCGGUACUGACGCUGAGGUGCGAAAGCGUGGGGAGCAAACAGG
RNAcentral lists this ribosomal RNA (253 nucleotides) under uncultured bacterium. RNAcentral's name for it is "partial 16S ribosomal RNA". It matches the Rfam family "Bacterial small subunit ribosomal RNA", at positions 524 to 776 of the family's 1533-position model. The record is from RNAcentral.